This is a long non-coding RNA of Cryptomeria japonica (Japanese cedar), 561 nucleotides long. RefSeq lists it as uncharacterized. The transcript has 2 exons. Lineage: Eukaryota; Viridiplantae; Streptophyta; Pinopsida; Cupressales; Cupressaceae. The record is from RefSeq and is a predicted model, not a curated record.
UUUAGGGCAUGCAAAUAAAGAUGUUUUCGAACCCUAAAAUCAUGCAUUCUUUCACUUCAUUUUUCAUUCUUUUUGAAGAAACCCUUUGCCGCCAUGCAGUUUGAAACUAGGGUUUGUGCUAUUAUUUGAGCUCGAAUUGGGGUUGUACUAAGGCUCGAACAUGGUGAUGAAAGUCUAACUUAGACAUCUCUUGCAUGAUUCUCUGCAUGACCUCCAUAAUGACUGUCUACAUUUUGCUACUCAUACCUUCAGCUAUCCCUUGAGUGCUUUGGAAAUAUUUGCACUUUGAGAUGAUCUAUCAAUCUAAGAUGUACUGUAACUAUGUAUUUGUAUUGGAUAUACAUUGGAUAAAUAAUGUAACUACUACUCUUGUAUUGAAUUGAAAAUAGGUUUCCAUUUUGUGUCUUUUAAUUAUCUUUGCAAUCACUAUAAACUUAUUGCCUCAUUCUGAGAUAUUUGUUGUGGCUAUGAAGAAGCUUGGACCGAUUAUGCUUUGAGACUAUCCUCAUUUAACCCCAGUAGCUGCUUUAGACUUCAUCUAUGACAAUGAAUUUCUUUUGA